This is a non-coding RNA of Cercophora newfieldiana, 90 nucleotides long. The record is from the annotation of a GenBank genome assembly. NCBI's taxonomy places the organism in Eukaryota, Fungi, Ascomycota, Sordariomycetes, Sordariales, Lasiosphaeriaceae.
GGUUUCGUGGUCUAGCGGUAUGAUUCUCGCUUAGGGUAACUCCCUGAGUCAAUUUGCGAGAGGUCCCGGGUUCAAUCCCCGGCGAAACCC